Molecule: ribosomal RNA, 1442 nt
Filed under: uncultured organism
Description: 16S ribosomal RNA
Rfam family: Bacterial small subunit ribosomal RNA
Source: RNAcentral
CAGGCUUAACACAUGCAAGUCGAGGGGCAGCAUGGUCUUAGCUUGCUAAGGCCGAUGGCGACCGGCGCACGGGUGAGUAACACGUAUCCAACCUGCCGUCUACUCUUGGACAGCCUUCUGAAAGGAAGAUUAAUACAAGAUGGCAUCAUGAGUCCGCAUGUUCACAUGAUUAAAGGUAUUCCGGUAGACGAUGGGGAUGCGUUCCAUUAGAUAGUAGGCGGGGUAACGGCCCACCUAGUCUUCGAUGGAUAGGGGUUCUGAGAGGAAGGUCCCCCACAUUGGAACUGAGACACGGUCCAAACUCCUACGGGAGGCAGCAGUGAGGAAUAUUGGUCAAUGGGCGAGAGCCUGAACCAGCCAAGUAGCGUGAAGGAUGACUGCCCUAUGGGUUGUAAACUUCUUUUAUAAAGGAAUAAAGUCGGGUAUGGAUACCCGUUUGCAUGUACUUUAUGAAUAAGGAUCGGCUAACUCCGUGCCAGCAGCCGCGGUAAUACGGAGGAUCCGAGCGUUAUCCGGAUUUAUUGGGUUUAAAGGGAGCGUAGAUGGAUGUUUAAGUCAGUUGUGAAAGUUUGCGGCUCAACCGUAAAAUUGCAGUUGAUACUGGAUAUCUUGAGUGCAGUUGAGGCAGGCGGAAUUCGUGGUGUAGCGGUGAAAUGCUUAGAUAUCACGAAGAACUCCGAUUGCGAAGGCAGCCUGCUAAGCUGCAACUGACAUUGAGGCUCGAAAGUGUGGGUAUCAAACAGGAUUAGAUACCCUGGUAGUCCACACGGUAAACGAUGAAUACUCGCUGUUUGCGAUAUACUGCAAGCGGCCAAGCGAAAGCGUUAAGUAUUCCACCUGGGGAGUACGCCGGCAACGGUGAAACUCAAAGGAAUUGACGGGGGCCCGCACAAGCGGAGGAACAUGUGGUUUAAUUCGAUGAUACGCGAGGAACCUUACCCGGGCUUAAAUUGCAGAUGAAUUACGGUGAAAGCCGUAAGCCGCAAGGCAUCUGUGAAGGUGCUGCAUGGUUGUCGUCAGCUCGUGCCGUGAGGUGUCGGCUUAAGUGCCAUAACGAGCGCAACCCUUGUUGUCAGUUACUAACAGGUUCCGCUGAGGACUCUGACAAGACUGCCAUCGUAAGAUGUGAGGAAGGUGGGGAUGACGUCAAAUCAGCACGGCCCUUACGUCCGGGGCUACACACGUGUUACAAUGGGGGGUACAGAGGGCCGCUACCACGCGAGUGGAUGCCAAUCCCCAAAACCUCUCUCAGUUCGGACUGGAGUCUGCAACCCGACUCCACGAAGCUGGACUCGCUAGUAAUCGCGCAUCAGCCACGGCGCGGUGAAUACGUUCCCGGGCCUUGUACACACCGCCCGUCAAGCCAUGGGAGCCGGGGGUACCUGAAGUGCGUAACCGCGAGGAGCGCCCUAGGGUAAAACUGGUGACUGGGGCUAAGUCGU